CGCCUCCCCGCAAGCGCGCUCGCGAAAAAACCCAAUCCCACGCACCCUGAGGCCCCGACCCACGCUGAGAAAACCAGGGCAACAAAAACGUCAAAUCCCCGUCGUGUCCGCCGCCAUCUCCGCCCGCGUCUGCUGCCCUUCCCUUCUUGUCAAGCGCCCCUCGCUCUCGCCCCCUCCUCCUCUUCCUCUACGGCUGCUGCCGCCGAGGAGGUCGAGAUUACUCCUCCCCUGCAGCGACGCUCGUCGCCCCCGAUCCAGGAAGAUGUCGAGAUCCAUCCCCAUCGCGAGGGCAUCCUCCAGGUGGCCACGUCGCGAGAGCAUCUCCAGGUGGCCAGUCGGCGAGCGCGGCCUCCUCUCUCGCCGCGCAUCUCUCUCUCCCCGCUUACCCUUAACCUCGCGGCUCGACCACGCGCUGCUUGCCUGCGUCCACGCCGCCGCCCCAUGUCUGUGCAGUUCGCCUCUAAUGGAUCGGUCCAUUCUGACGCCUCCGUCGCUCCCCUUGACAACCUCAUCUCCCUGACGGGUUCCUCUGUUUAUUGAUCGGCAAUCUUUUGCUUCUCUGAGCGCGAAAAGAUUUGAUCUUUCCUCUUCGGCUGAUCUGUUGUAAGAAUAUGUAGAAUCACUCUUGUUCUGAGACACAAAAGGACGAAUUCUACCUGAACCUCAUGGAUUGGUCUUCGCAUAAUGUCCUCACCGUUGGAUUAGGGAACUGCGUGUACUUGUGGAAUGCAUGCAGCAGCAAGGUGAGCAAUCAGUUUUUACUGUUUUUGUGUAGGUAUGAAGUGGAAAAGUAUGAUUGGGACUGAUGGCUUGCAUAUCAAUAACAAUAAAGAACUAACAUUCGUGGAGAUGACUGGCAACAUCAACAUCAUGUACACUGCUGUUCGAUAUUCCGUAGCAGCGCACGGACACCUGACUAGUAAAAAUAAGUUUUCGGAUGCA
Brachypodium distachyon (stiff brome) is the source of this 942-nucleotide long non-coding RNA. RefSeq lists it as uncharacterized. Lineage: Eukaryota; Viridiplantae; Streptophyta; Magnoliopsida; Poales; Poaceae. The transcript has 2 exons. The record is from RefSeq and is a predicted model, not a curated record.